AUGCAAAGACCCUUCUCAUUUGUUUUGUACUCCUAUAUGGUAGUACCAAGGCGCGAUUCCCCCUUUCCAGUCACAAACGACGUCGUUCUCAAGUCCGCUUUCAUCUCCGCUGCUUCGCCACUCAAUCAUCAUCACCUCUGGCCUCGAAGCUCCGUGCUUCUUCAAUGUGAUGUCGAUGUCAAGAAAUCAACGAAAGCUCCACCAAAUAAAGAAGUGUUGAAGAAAUAG
Molecule: non-coding RNA, 228 nt
Organism: Vicia faba (fava bean)
Lineage: Eukaryota; Viridiplantae; Streptophyta; Magnoliopsida; Fabales; Fabaceae
Source: the annotation of a GenBank genome assembly